This is a non-coding RNA of Musa acuminata subsp. malaccensis (wild Malaysian banana), 643 nucleotides long. Lineage: Eukaryota; Viridiplantae; Streptophyta; Magnoliopsida; Zingiberales; Musaceae. The record is from RefSeq and is a predicted model, not a curated record.
UAACACCCUUUCCAUGUCCAUAAAGCAACCAUGUUCAGCAUCCAUCAUCAUCCCUCCAUCAUUUGCUCUUACCUUUGAUAUGCCUUUUUUUUGCACCUCAGGUGGUCUUUCCCAUGCAAACCCUAAUCCAAGAUUACGUAGAUAAUAUGGUUCAUGAUUACUUUUGUGAAUUAAGAGGCAUCAGAGCAGCAGCUUCAACACCAAUACCCUUAGGCAUAUAAAUGGAAGUUGAAGAAAUCAUAGAAGCUAUGAUUGAGAGAGCCCAAGGAUUCUGAAGUGAUGAAGAUUUCGAGCUGCUUGAUGCUAAUUUCCUUUCCUUGGGUUGCUCGCCGCCUAGACGGCAACAUGCCCUCGGGCGUGCCCUUGAGAAGACCACCAACGAUGUUGGCAAGCACAUGAUGGAGAACAAAAAGGCAUGCCAAGCUACAGUCGCUGCUUCGACAGCAGGUUUUGUCGACCAUCCCUUCUCUCACUGCACGGCGAACAAACUUUACGUCAUGCAAAGAGAAUGUAUGAAUGAACAAAACGUUGAGGUUGAUGGGUGUGACAAUCUAGGCCAUGGGCGUUAUCAGCUGGUCCAACUUUAUGUGCCCUUUCAUUCCCUGAAACAAGGGGGAGAAAGUUCUGUUGCUUUGAAACGAAA